Oryza brachyantha (malo sina) is the source of this 1255-nucleotide long non-coding RNA. RefSeq lists it as uncharacterized. The transcript is spliced from 4 exons. The record is from RefSeq and is a predicted model, not a curated record. Lineage: Eukaryota; Viridiplantae; Streptophyta; Magnoliopsida; Poales; Poaceae.
AAAAAAACUGGAGCGAAACCAGGUUUGGCUUAUUACUACAGUUCUCGUUAGGAUAAUUCAGAUACCACAUUCCGGAGUGAGCAUUCAUUUUCUUGUCUACCAUGCAAGUUAAUCUCCUUCAUGAAUCCAUAUUAAUUUUCCAUGGAGGCGUGCCGUUAACGCAGCUUUGAUGCAGUCAUUUCAUGACACUGGCUUAAAGUUUGAACUGGAUUUUCAUGAAUCAAGACAGCAGCUGGGCAUUACAAGGACCGCAACACCCGGCUACCAGAAAGGGACUUGGGGUGUGCUGACAUUGCUCCUGGGAAUUUCCACAUUGCGAUGACCAGGCGGACCUGAAUCAAGGUGCAAGAUUUGGUCAAGGAUACACCAUACACUGUCUAGGCAUAUUGAAUUUUGGUUGAGAAGACGGAUCAUACACGACGCCAAAGUUGUCUGCGCUUGGUUUUUUGUGCUCCUUCCUACGGUCAUUUAUGUGAACUUAUGAUGUCACUCAUGAUCAAACUGUACGCAGAAAAUGGACUGCAACCAAGAUCAGGAGCAGAUGCAACCAAGCGAGGCUUUUUCACCACGGAGAUUGGGCAAUGACUCAUGAGAUGUACUCUGCCGGCGGCUGAACCUUAUCCAGGGCCCUCUGAUGCUGACCGUGAGUUCAUCGCGCUGGGCGGCUAGGGAGUGGCACACUGUUCCUUUCAUUAUGGGCCUUAAUCAUGAUCAUAAUGGCCGACCCGGCAAAUCCGAGGCGAGAUUACCAGUAAAUCUGGUGAGUAAACCUGGUUGAUGGAUGGUGUCUGCUGCAAUGCAGCCCCUGGAGCUUGUGAUGGUGGUAGUGGGUGAUGGGUCCUUUUCCACGCUCUAUUAGCCUACUAACUAGAGCCUUUUUUUGAUCUGCCUUUUGUGCCGCGCGUGCAUCUGAUUUUUUUGGCCAAAAUACCCAUAAUGGACAAGCAUAUCAAGGAUGGUGGCCUGGUGGGUGGAUGCAAGUGCAACCGUAGGGAACAUUUCUGCUGAAAACUGCUUUCUAGGUUUGAAAUGCUCUGAUUUGGAUGUUAUGUUUCAAUUGGUUUGAUCAUUGGCAGCACUCUAUAUUUUCCAAUAGCCUUUUUAGCUUGAAUACGUCAAAAAUCUGUGUACAGCCCACACAUUACAAUAUUACAUGCCGAUCUCGUUACGAGCUUCAGCUUCAUCCUACAGCCCUCUUUGUCUGUGGUCAUACCAGGGUGUUAAGUUGCUUAUGUACAACAAAAACAUAUUAUCU